RNAcentral lists this ribosomal RNA (481 nucleotides) under uncultured bacterium. RNAcentral's name for it is "bacterial SSU rRNA". It matches the Rfam family "Bacterial small subunit ribosomal RNA", at positions 28 to 498 of the family's 1533-position model. The record is from RNAcentral.
GAUGAACGCUAGCUACAGGCUUAACACAUGCAAGUCGAGGGGCAGCAUGGUCUUAGCUUGCUAAGGCCGAUGGCGACCGGCGCACGGGUGAGUAACACGUAUCCAACCUGCCGUCUACUCUUGGACAGCCUUCUGAAAGGAAGAUUAAUACAAGAUGGCAUCAUGAGUCCGCAUGUUCACAUGAUUAAAGGUAUUCCGGUAGACGAUGGGGAUGCGUUCCAUUAGAUAGUAGGCGGGGUAACGGCCCACCUAGUCUUCGAUGGAUAGGGGUUCUGAGAGGAAGGUCCCCCCACAUUGGAACUGAGACACGGUCCAAACUCCUACGGGAGCAGCAGUGAGGAAUAUUGGUCAAUGGGCGAGAGCCUGAACCAGCCAAGUAGCGUGAAGGAUGACUGCCCUAUGGGUUGUAAACUUCUUUUAUAAGGGAAUAAAGUGAGUCUCGUGAGACUUUUUGCAUGUACCUUAUGAAUAAGGACCGGCU